Molecule: long non-coding RNA, 563 nt
Organism: Polyodon spathula (Mississippi paddlefish)
Lineage: Eukaryota; Metazoa; Chordata; Actinopteri; Acipenseriformes; Polyodontidae
Exons: 3
Source: RefSeq, a predicted model, not a curated record
UGCAGCUGUGUGUGCUGUCAUUACACAGGACACUAUGAGCAGAGGGAAUUACAUCUCUGCAGCUUACCGAGUUAGGUUUGAAGCAAAGAAGAAAAAAAAGGCGGAUUCAGCAGUGAAACAUUCUCCGGUGAGAGAAAUUUUGAAUUUUUUUUCCUGAAUGAAAUGUGCAAAUGGAAGGCUACUGGUAUACUGUUAACUAUGAAACUAUGUGAGUCUGGAGAACAGCUGUUUAAUUUGAGGGGGACAGAGUCAGAGAUGUAGAGACUGUGAUAAUAAUGAGAUAAUCAGGGCACAGAGUCAGAGAUGUAGAGACGGUGAUAAUAAUGAGAUAAUCAGGACACAGAGUCAGAGAUAUAGAGCAGGUGAUAAUAAUGAGAUAAUCAGGGCACAGAGUCAGAGAUAUAGAGACGGUGAUAAUAAUGAGAUAAUCAGGGCACAGAGUCAGAGAUAUAGAGCAGGUGAUAAUAAUGAGAUAAUCAGGGCACAGAGUCAGAGAUAUAGAGCAGGUGAUAAUAAUGAGAUAAUCAGGGCACAGAGUCAGAGAUGUAGAGACGGUGAUAAUA